This 310-nucleotide long non-coding RNA is filed under the name Felis catus (domestic cat). Its description in RNAcentral is "lncRNA (ENSFCAG00000050802.1)". Lineage: Eukaryota; Metazoa; Chordata; Mammalia; Carnivora; Felidae. The record is from RNAcentral.
UGUCACCUCUUUGCCUCUAAUUUCUUAAGCUCUGAUGAUGUCUCAUUGAUCUCCCAUGUGAAAUUAGGGUGAAGCUGCUGCCCUUGGGCUCACCUUCCCAGAGCCCCCCUGUGCAGACUGCUGGCUAUUAGCAAGAGGGGAUUUGAUGUCCCUCUCAUCUUGGGAUGCAGGACAUUAUGCUUUCUCUCCCCAGAUCUUUCAGUUGUGUUUUAUCUUCAAAUAAAAAAGAGAAACUGCUUCCAGAGCCCAGAGGGACCACUGUAACCACAGGAUCACCAUGACCAUCUCUUUGGCCCCAGGAAAGGGCCCA